Molecule: ribosomal RNA, 802 nt
Filed under: uncultured bacterium
Lineage: Bacteria
Description: bacterial SSU rRNA
Rfam family: Bacterial small subunit ribosomal RNA
Source: RNAcentral
GGGUGAACGCUGGCGGCGUGCCUAACACAUGCAAGUCGAGCGGUGCAGCUGGAAGCUUCGGCGGAAGGCUGCACAGCGGCGGACGGGUGCGUAACACGUAGGAACGUGCCCCCUGGAGGCGGAUAGCUGUGGGAAACUGCAGGUAAUCCGCCGUAGACUCGUGAGAGUAAAGGCCGAAAGGUGCCAGGGGAGCGGCCUGCGGCCCAUCAGGUAGUUGGUAGGGUAAAGGCCUACCAAGCCGACGACGGGUAGCCGGUCUGAGAGGAUGGCCGGCCACAAGGGCACUGAGACACGGGCCCUACUCCUACGGGAGGCAGCAGUGGGGGAUUUUGGACAAUGGGCGAAAGCCUGAUCCAGCGACGCCGCGUGGAGGAAGAAGCCCUUCGGGGUGUAAACUCCUUUUGUCAGGGAAAAGAGCUGAUGGUACCUGACGAAUAAGCCCCGGCUAACUACGUGCCAGCAGCCGCGGUAAUACGUAGGGGGCGAGCGUUACCCGGAAUCACUGGGCGUAAAGGGUGCGUAGGCGGCCGAGUGUGUCUGGCGUUAAAAUCCACGGCUCAACUGUGGGUAUGCGCUGGAAACUGCUUGGCUUGAGUGCAGCAGAGGCAGACGGAACUGCUGGUGUAGAGGUGAAAUUCGUAGAUAUCAGCAGGAACGCCGGUGGAGAAGUCGGUCUGCUGGGCUGUAACUGACGCUGAGGCACGAAAGCUAGGGGAGCAAACCGGAUUAGAUACCCGGGUAGUCCUAGCCGUAACGAUGCUCACUUGGUGUGGGGGCGAAGAGUCUCCGUGCUGAAGCUAAC